UGGCUGAGUGGUAAAGCGCUUGGCUUCCGAACCAAAGGAUCCGGGUUUGAAUCCUGG
Molecule: transfer RNA, 57 nt
Filed under: Biomphalaria glabrata
Lineage: Eukaryota; Metazoa; Mollusca; Gastropoda; Planorbidae
Rfam family: tRNA
About the family: Transfer RNA (tRNA) molecules are approximately 80 nucleotides in length.
Source: Rfam by way of RNAcentral